UGCAGUCGUACGAUGAAGACCGGCUUGCUGGGCGGAUUAGUGGCGAACGGGUGAGUAACACGUGAGUAACCUGCCCUUGACUCUGGGAUAAGCCCGGGAAACUGGGUCUAAUACCGGAUAGGAACGCCUAUCGCAUGAUGGGUGUUGGAAAGAUUUUUCGGUCAUGGAUGGACUCGCGGCCUAUCAGCUUGUUGGUGAGGUAAUGGCUCACCAAGGCGACGACGGGUAGCCGGCCUGAGAGGGUGACCGGCCACACUGGGACUGAGACACGGCCCAGACUCCUACGGGAGGCAGCAGUGGGGAAUAUUGCACAAUGGGCGAAAGCCUGAUGCAGCGACGCCGCGUGAGGGAUGACGGCCUUCGGGUUGUAAACCUUCUUUUCAGUAAGGAAAGAAAGCGAAAAGUGACGGGUACCUGCAAGAAAGGAAGCACCGGCUUAACUACGUGCCAAGCAGCCGCGGUAAUACGUAGGGGUGCGAGCGUUAUCCGGAAUUUAUUGGGCGUAAAGAGCUCGUAGGGCGGUUUGUCACGUCUGUCGUGAAAGUCCCGGGGCUUAACCCCGGAUCUGCGGUGGGUACGGGCAGACUAGAGUGCCAGUAGGGGGAGACUGGAAUUCCUGGUGUAGCGGUGGAAUGCGCAGAUAUCAGGAGGGAACACCGAUGGCGAAGGCAGGUCUCUGGGCUGUAACUGACGCUGAGGAGCGAAAGCAUGGGGAGCGAACAGGAUUAGAUACCCUGGUAGUCCAUGCCGUAAACGUUGGGCACUAGGUGUGGGGACCAUUCCACGGUUUCCGCGCCGCAGCUAACGCAUUAAGUGCCCCGCCUGGGGAGUACGGCCGCAAGGCUAAAACUCAAAGGAAUUGACGGGGGCCCGCACAAGCGGCGGAGCAUGCGGAUUAAUUCGAUGCAACGCGAAGAACCUUACCAAGGCUUGACAUGUUUUCGAUCGCCGUGGAGACACGGUUUCCCCUUUGGGGCGGAUUCACAGGUGGUGCAUGGUUGUCGUCAGCUCGUGUCGUGAGAUGUUGGGUUAAGUCCCGCAACGAGCGCAACCCUCGUUCCAUGUUGCCAGCACGUAGUGGUGGGGACUCAUGGGAGACUGCCGGGGUCAACUCGGAGGAAGGUGAGGACGACGUCAAAUCAUCAUGCCCCUUAUGUCUUGGGCUUCACGCAUGCUACAAUGGCCGGUACAAUGGGUUGCGAUACUGUGAGGUGGAGCUAAUCCCAAAAAGCCGGUCUCAGUUCGGAUUGGGGUCUGCAACUCGACCCCAUGAAGUCGGAGUCGCUAGUAAUCGCAGAUCAGCAACGCUGCGGUGAAUACGUUCCCGGGCCUUGUACACACCGCCCGUCAAGUCACGAAAGUCGGUAACACCCGAAGCCGGG
This 1382-nucleotide ribosomal RNA is filed under the name endophytic bacterium. RNAcentral's name for it is "bacterial SSU rRNA". It matches the Rfam family "Bacterial small subunit ribosomal RNA", at positions 56 to 1431 of the family's 1533-position model. The record is from RNAcentral.